CCUCAAUGAAUCAGACUUAUAAACCCCCCAAUGCAGGCAUUUAUCCUAUCUCCCUGACCUGUUAUAAUGGCUCCCCUGCUAUUACUCCCUUUUAAGGCUAAUUCCUCCAGUUGGGCUUUGAAUCACCUAUAAAUAGGUAAAAUACAUUAUUUUAGAAAGCAUAUUAAAUAGUAAUAAGUGCUAAAAACAAAAUAAACAAAGGAUGGAAAGGCAACAUGAAAUGAUGUCAGACUAUGAAAUUUUAAUUAAGAUGUCCAGGGAUGAUCUCACUGGGAAGGUAACUAUAUAGUGAAGAACUAAAAGAAAUGAGAAAUUCAGGUAUGUGGAUAUCUGAAGGGAGAAGGCAUGCCUGGCAUGUUUGAGACCAAAGUAACUAAAACAGAGAGAAUGAAGGGGAAGAUGUUAAGAGAUGAAAUCAGAGAUUUAUCAGGGAACCAGAUCACUUAAGUCAUUUGUCAACAUAGUAGUUUUGUUUUUACAUUGAGUGAUGUGGAAACCUAAUGAAGUGUUUUUGUAAAGAAGAAUAAUAAGAAAAUAACUAUACUUUUUAGAUAGAAGAUAAAUUUUGGAGGACUAGAGGUAGAAGCCAGAAGGCUAGUGAGGGACUAAUGCAGUAAUUCAGGACAUGAAAAAUGGUGUCCAGGAUGUAAAGAGUGGAGUGGGAAGAAGUUGUUAAUUUUGGGUAUAAUUUCAUGCAGAACCAAGAGAAUUUGUUGAAGCAAUAGUCGUGAAGAAUGAGAAAGAAAGGGAAAACAAAGCAAAAAAAAAUACUAUCAAGAUGUAUGAAGGAAUUGAAUUACUGUUUAACUGAGAUGGGAAUGACUACAGAAGGAGCCACAAGUUUAAUGGCGAGAGGUCGAUAUCAGGAGGUGAACAACCAGGACAGCAUGGUUUCUGCAUUUCCAGCUCUAACAGUCUGUAAUUCUAUGAUGGCAACCAUUUGGGGUCUGGUGAUGUCACUGACAUCUGGAGAAGAGAAAAACAAGGCCACAGGAACCAGUUUGGAGAAUGAGAUCAAUUGGCAUACGAUUCCUGGUAAUUUCUACACCCAACAUGGGGUUCAAACUCAUGACCCUGGGAUCAAGAGUUGUAUGCUCUUCCGACUGAGCCAGCCAGUGCACGGUCUUCUGUUGUUCCUGGAACCACUCAAGCAUAUAAUGAA
This 1162-nucleotide long non-coding RNA is filed under the name Mustela putorius furo (domestic ferret). RNAcentral's name for it is "lncRNA (ENSMPUG00000028980.1)". Lineage: Eukaryota; Metazoa; Chordata; Mammalia; Carnivora; Mustelidae. The record is from RNAcentral.